Armigeres subalbatus is the source of this 799-nucleotide long non-coding RNA. RefSeq lists it as uncharacterized. Lineage: Eukaryota; Metazoa; Arthropoda; Insecta; Diptera; Culicidae. The record is from RefSeq and is a predicted model, not a curated record. The transcript is spliced from 2 exons.
UUAUCCGCUAGAACUAGCUCAUAUGUAAACGGGCCAUAAGCAAAACAAUUGCUUAGUUUGUUCUCCGCUUUCGCAAGUACGUUUCCGCCGCGUUUCCUGCCGAGGACGACCGGGCGCAGUGAUCCGACAUCAAAUUAUUGAAAGCUAAGGACUUUCUACGAAAACCUGAGUUCCGUUUGAGGAGAUCUCUCUGGCGAAUUUCCAGAUCCCCAUUACUAAAACCCUCAUUCGCCUGGAAGUCGAUGGGAUUCACAAUAUCACGUAACACCCGAAGUGCGGAAAAGUGAAGGUAAAGGAAAUGCAGAAACCAGCACCAUGCACUUCGUUCGAUCGCGACAACCGUAGCAUCAACCGGGAGGUUGCAAUAAACUGCACUGCGUGUUCCACAAUGGAGUCUCAACCACGCAGGCUCCCAACUUCUAUCCGGGUUUCUGAGCAUAAGGAAAAUAUGGUGUGUGGAUCCUGAUUUCUGUUAUGUUAACAGUAAGAUACAGAGACGUAUUGGAUUUGAGACUCUGACUAUGUAUUUAAGUUGUUUUCUUAUAAGGGCGAUAUUGCAUCAUGAGUGCUGUCCAAUGAGCAGCUCGAGGUAGCUCGAAGUUGUUCCCGUCCUGCUCGUUCUUUUUUUGGCAACAAAUGGACAUGAGAGGGAUGGGAAUAGCUUCGAGCUACUUCGAGCUGCUUAUUGGACAGCACUAUGAUAAGCUUUACCCCCUUUAUCGAAGCACGAAAAACAAUCAGGUACCGUUGUCCGGUGUGGGCAGAAUGGAAGUUAUUUAUGAAUAAAAGUUUCUUUUUU